RNAcentral lists this ribosomal RNA (495 nucleotides) under uncultured bacterium. Its description in RNAcentral is "partial 16S ribosomal RNA". It matches the Rfam family "Bacterial small subunit ribosomal RNA", at positions 29 to 507 of the family's 1533-position model. The record is from RNAcentral.
AACGAACGCUGGCGGCGUGCCUAAUACAUGCAAGUCGAACGCUGACGGAGGAGCUUGCUUCUCUGGAUGAGUUGCGAACGGGUGAGUAACGCGUAGGUAACCUGCCUUGUAUCUGGGGGUAACUAUUGGAAACGAUAGCUAAUACAGCAUAACAUUAGAUCUAGCAUGAUAUCUACUUGAAAUGUGCAAUUUCAUCACUACCAGAUGGCCCUGCGUUGUAUUAUGUAGUUGGUGAGGUAAAGGCACACCAAGGCGGAGGUACAUAACCGGCCUGAGAGGGAGGUCCGGCACACUGGGACUGGGACACGGCCCAAACUCCUUCGGGAAGCAGCAGGAGGGGAACUUCGGCAAAUGGCGGAAGGCUUAACCAGGAACGACGCGUGGGUGAAGAAGGUUUUCGGGGUGUAAAGCUCUGUUUUUAGAGAAGAAAGAGUGUGAGAGUGGAAAGUUCACACUGUGACGGUAUCUUACCAGAAAGGAACGGCUAACUACGUG